Molecule: transfer RNA, 90 nt
Filed under: Dehalococcoidia bacterium
Lineage: Bacteria; Bacillati; Chloroflexota; Dehalococcoidia
Description: tRNA-Ser
Rfam family: tRNA
About the family: Transfer RNA (tRNA) molecules are approximately 80 nucleotides in length. Their secondary structure includes four short double-helical elements and three loops (D, anti-codon, and T loops).
Source: RNAcentral
GGAGGGAUGGCCGAGCGGACGAUGGCGGCGGUCUUGAAAACCGCUAUACGGGCGACUGUAUCGUGGGUUCGAAUCCCACUCCCUCCGCCA